GUGGGGAAUCUUGCGCAAUGGGCGAAAGCCUGACGCAGCCAUGCCGCGUGGAUGAUGAAGGUCUUAGGAUUGUAAAAUCCUUUCACCGGUGAAGAUAAUGACUGUAGCCGGAGAAGAAGCCCCGGCUAACUUCGUGCCAGCAGCCGCGGUAAUACGAAUGGGGCUAGCGUUGCUCGGAUUUACUGGGCGUAAAGGGCGCGUAGGCGGACAUUUAAGUCAGGGGUGAAAUCCCGGGGCUCAACCUCGGAACUGCCUUUGAUACUGGGUGUCUUGAGUAUGAGAGAGGUGUGUGGAACUCCGAGUGUAGAGGUGAAAUUCGUAGAUAUUCGGAAGAACACCAGUGGCGAAGGCGACACACUGGCUCAUUACUGACGCUGAGGCGCGAAAGCGUGGGGAGCAAACAGGAUUAGAAACCCUUGUAGUCC
This 425-nucleotide ribosomal RNA is filed under the name uncultured bacterium. Its description in RNAcentral is "partial 16S ribosomal RNA". It matches the Rfam family "Bacterial small subunit ribosomal RNA", at positions 354 to 796 of the family's 1533-position model. The record is from RNAcentral.